RNAcentral lists this ribosomal RNA (447 nucleotides) under uncultured bacterium. RNAcentral describes it as "partial 16S ribosomal RNA". It matches the Rfam family "Bacterial small subunit ribosomal RNA", at positions 29 to 523 of the family's 1533-position model. The record is from RNAcentral.
AACGAACGCUGGCGGCAGGCUUAACACAUGCAAGUCGAACGCCCCGCAAGGGGAGUGGCAGACGGGUGAGUAACGCGUGGGAAUCUACCCAUCUCUGCGGAAUAGCUCUGGGAAACUGGAAUUAAUACCGCAUACGCCCUACGGGGGAAAGAUUUAUCGGGGACGGAUGAGCCCGCGUUGGAUUAGCUAGUUGGUGGGGUAAAGGCCUACCAAGGCGACGAUCCAUAGCUGGUCUGAGAGGAUGAUCAGCCACAUUGGGACCGAGACACGGCCCAAACUCCUACGGGAGGCAGCAGUGGGGAAUAUUGGACAAUGGGCGCAAGCCUGAUCCAGCCACGCCGCGUGAGUGAUGAAGGCCUUAGGGUUGUAAAGCUCUUUCACCGAUGAAGAUAAUGACGGUAGUCGGAGAAGAAGCCCCGGCUAACUUCGUGCCAGCAGCCGCCGCCG